RNAcentral lists this ribosomal RNA (449 nucleotides) under uncultured bacterium. RNAcentral describes it as "partial 16S ribosomal RNA". It matches the Rfam family "Bacterial small subunit ribosomal RNA", at positions 338 to 795 of the family's 1533-position model. The record is from RNAcentral.
CCUACGGGGGGCUGCAGUAAGGAAUAUUGGUCAAUGGACGCAAGUCUGAACCAGCCAUGCCGCGUGGAGGAUGAAGGUCCUCUGGAUUGUAAACUUCUUUUAUUUGGGAAGAAACUCCCGAUUUCCAUCGGGAUUGACGGUACCAGAUGAAUAAGCACCGGCUAACUCCGUGCCAGCAGCCGCGGUAAUACGGAGGGUGCAAGUUCACUCCGGUUACACUGGGUUUAAAGGUGCAGGUGAGUGGCUGGUGAAAUCUCCGGGCUUAACCCGGAAACUGCCAUUGAUACUAUUUGUCUUGAAUACUCUGGAGGUGAGCGGAAUAUGUCAUGUAGCGGUGAAAUGCUUAGAUAUGACAUAGAACACCCAUUGCGAAGGCAGCUCACUACGGAAAUAUUGACGCUGAGGCACGAAAGCGUGGGGAUCAAACAGGAUUAGAUACCCUGGUAGUC